This 462-nucleotide ribosomal RNA is filed under the name uncultured Methanolinea sp. Its description in RNAcentral is "bacterial SSU rRNA". It matches the Rfam family "Archaeal small subunit ribosomal RNA", at positions 875 to 1338 of the family's 1478-position model. The record is from RNAcentral. Lineage: Archaea; Methanobacteriati; Methanobacteriota; Methanomicrobia; Methanomicrobiales; Methanoregulaceae.
AGCACCACAACGGGUGGAGCCUGCGGUUAAUUGGACUCAACGCCGGGCAGCUCACCGGAUAAGACAGCUGGAUGAUAGCCGGGCUGAAGACUCUGCUUGACUAGCUGAGGGAGGUGCAUGGCCGUCGUCAGUUCGUACUGUGAAGCAUCCUGUUAAGUCAGGCAACGAGCGAGACCCACGCCAACAGUUGCCAGCAUGUCCUCCGGGAUGAUGGGGACACUGUUGGGACCGCCUCUGCUAAAGAGGAGGAAGGAAUGGGCAACGGUAGGUCAGCAUGCCCCGAAUUAUCCGGGCUACACGCGGGCUACAAUGGUCAGGACAAUGGGUAUCGACACCGAGAGGUGGAGGCAAUCUCCUAAACCUGUCCUUAGUUCGGAUUGUGGGCUGCAACUCGCCCACAUGAAGCUGGAAUCCGUAGUAAUCGCGUUUCAAAAUAGCGCGGUGAAUAUGUCCCUGCUCCUU